Molecule: long non-coding RNA, 647 nt
Organism: Carcharodon carcharias (great white shark)
Lineage: Eukaryota; Metazoa; Chordata; Chondrichthyes; Lamniformes; Lamnidae
Exons: 2
Source: RefSeq, a predicted model, not a curated record
UCUGAGAAGUCUGCCUCUUUCUUUUCUUCGAAAAAAAUGUAAAGAGAUCUGUUGACUGAACCAAACUGAAAGUAUUACCUUAAUCAAUAAAUACAAAUAUCUAAAGCCAGCGAGCUGCCCUUCACACACACACACACACACACAGACGGACAGACAGAGCCUGUGCGAAGAGAAUCAAAAAUCGAAGAAAGCUACAUCAUACUGAGAUGGGUGACGGCAGUUUUGAGGUCCAGACUAACAUACAUGGUUUCACUGCGACUGCAAUUUCUCUGUCAAGACAACAACUCUGGACAUUCGUGGUUACCUGAAAACACAGGGAUCUCUCCAAAUGUAAACGUUUUGAAAUUGCAGGCAAGAUUUAAAUUGACUCCAAGCAGAUUUUAAAAAUGUCCUGGACCUCAAAUGAACCCUCUGAACUGUUGCUUGACAUUGCACUGGCAUUAUACACCGUGCAGAGUCAAGACCCAAACACCAAACAGCAUUAACUCCAGGCGUCAGAUCACACUGUUAUUCCAGAUUUAUUGGACAAUGUCAGUAUUGCUGCAAAGUGAAAAUUAGCAAGAGAAAACAGAUUCUAAAGAACGCAUGACCUAAUGUAUUUCACAUAUAUAAACAUAUAUAUUAAAACAUAUAUUCUACAGUAAAAA